UGGGGAAUAUUGCGCAAUGGGCGAAAGCCUGACGCAGCGACGCCGCGUGGAGGAUGAAGGUCUUCGGAUUGUAAACUUCUGUUAAGUGGGAAGAAAUACCUGCUUCUAAUAAAAGUAGGGGAUGACGGUACCAUUAGAGAAAGCACCGGCUAACUUCGUGCCAGCAGCCGCGGUAAUACGAAGGGUGCAAGCGUUAUUCGGAAUUAUUGGGCGUAAAGGGUGUGUAGACGGUAUGUUAAGUCUGUUGUUAAAUGCUCCAGCCUAACUGGAGACCUGCAAUGGAAACUGACAUGCUUGAGGGUGGGAGAGAGAAGUGGAAUUCUCGGAGUAGCGGUAAAAUGCGUAGAUCUCGAGAGGAACACCAAUGGCGAAGGCAGCUUCUUAGUCCAUACCUGACGUUGAAACACGAAAGCGUGGGGAGCAAACAGGAUUAGAUACCCCCGUAGUCC
Molecule: ribosomal RNA, 449 nt
Filed under: uncultured bacterium
Lineage: Bacteria
Description: bacterial SSU rRNA
Rfam family: Bacterial small subunit ribosomal RNA
Source: RNAcentral